Molecule: ribosomal RNA, 472 nt
Filed under: uncultured bacterium
Lineage: Bacteria
Description: bacterial SSU rRNA
Rfam family: Bacterial small subunit ribosomal RNA
Source: RNAcentral
AUUAGCUAGUUGGUAGUGUAACGGACUACCAAGGCGAUGAUCAGUAGCCGGUCUGAGAGGAUGAACGGCCACAUUGGGACUGAGACACGGCCCAAACUCCUACGGGAGGCAGCAGUGGGGAAUCUUCCGCAAUGGACGAAAGUCUGACGGAGCAACGCCGCGUGAGUGAUGAAGGAUUUCGGUCUGUAAAGCUCUGUUGUUUAUGACGAAGUGCAGUGUGUGAACAAUGCAUUGCAAUGACGGUAGUAAACGAGGAAGCCACGGCUAACUACGUGCCAGCAGCCGCGGUAAUACGUAGGUGGCGAGCGUUGUCCGGAAUUAUUGGGCGUAAAGAGCAUGUAGGCGGCUUAAUAAGUCGAGCGUGAAAAUGCGGGGCUCAACCCCGUAUGGCGCUGGAAACUGUUAGGCUUGAGUGCAGGAGAGGAAAGGGGAAUUCCCAGUGUAGCGGUGAAAUGCGUAGAUAUUGGGAGGA